Molecule: ribosomal RNA, 392 nt
Filed under: uncultured bacterium
Lineage: Bacteria
Description: partial 16S ribosomal RNA
Rfam family: Bacterial small subunit ribosomal RNA
Source: RNAcentral
AUACGUAGGGGCCUGACGUUGUUCGGAAUCAUUGGGCGUAAAGGGCGCGCAGGCGGCCGUCCAAGUCCGGUGUUAAAUGGUCGGGCUCAACCCGAUCAUGCGCUGGAAACUGGGCGGCUGGAGUCCCGGAGGGGAUGCCGGAAUUCCAGGUGUAGGGGUGAAAUCUGUAGAUAUCUGGAAGAACACCGAUGGCGAAGGCAGGCAUCUGGCCGGAGACUGACGCUGAGGCGCGAAGGCGCGGGGAGCGAACAGGUUUAGAGACCCUGGUAGUCCGCGCAGUAAACGAUGCGCACCAGGUGUCGGGCGGCAGCGCCCGGUACCGGAGCAAACGCGAUGAGUGCGCCGCCUGGGGAGUAUGCCCGCAAGGGUGAAACUCAAAGGAAUUGACGGGG